RNAcentral lists this ribosomal RNA (372 nucleotides) under uncultured organism. RNAcentral's name for it is "partial 16S ribosomal RNA". It matches the Rfam family "Bacterial small subunit ribosomal RNA", at positions 526 to 896 of the family's 1533-position model. The record is from RNAcentral.
GGAGGGGUGCAAGCGUUGUUCGGAAUUAUUGGGCGUAAAGAGCGUGUAGGGCGGUUCGGUAAGUCAGAUGUGAAAGCCCUGGGCUCAACCCAGGAAGUGCAUUUGAAACUACCAGACUUGAGUACGGGAGAGGAGGGGGAAUUCCCGGUGUAGAGGUGAAAUUCGUAGAUAUCGGGAGGAAUACCAGCGGCGAAGGCGCCCCUCUGGACCGAUACUGACGCUGAGACGCGAAAGCGUGGGGAGCAAACAGGAUUAGAUACCCUGGUAGUCCACGCCGUAAACGAUGAGCACUAGGUGUAGCGGGUAUUGACCCCUGCUGUGCCGUAGCUAACGCAUUAAGUGCUCCGCCUGGGGACUACGGUCGCAAGACUA